UGGGGAAUAUUGGACAAUGGGGGCAACCCUGAUCCAGCCAUGCCGCGUGAGUGACGAAGGCCUUAGGGUUGUAAAGCUCUUUUGGCGGGGAAGAUAAUGACGGUACCCGCAGAAUAAGCUCCGGCUAACUUCGUGCCAGCAGCCGCGGUAAUACGAGGGAUCCUAGCGUUGUUCGGAAUUAUUGGGCGUAAAGCGGGUGUAGGCGGACUUAUAAGUCAGGUGUGAAAUCCCAGGGCUCAACCCUGGAAGUGCACUUGAUACUGCAAGUCUUGAGUGUGGUAGAGGCUAUUAGAAUUCCUGGUGUAGUGGUGAAAUACGUAGAUAUCAGGAGGAAUACCGGAGGCGAAGGCGGAUAGCUGGGCCAACACUGACGCUGAGGUGCGAAAGCGUGGGGAGCAAACAGGAUUAGAUACCCUUGUAGUCCCUGAGCGGGCUGGCAAGGCGCAU
Molecule: ribosomal RNA, 447 nt
Filed under: uncultured bacterium
Lineage: Bacteria
Description: bacterial SSU rRNA
Rfam family: Bacterial small subunit ribosomal RNA
Source: RNAcentral